Molecule: ribosomal RNA, 254 nt
Filed under: uncultured bacterium
Lineage: Bacteria
Description: partial 16S ribosomal RNA
Rfam family: Bacterial small subunit ribosomal RNA
Source: RNAcentral
UACGUAGGGGGCGAGCGUUGUCCGGAUUUAUUGGGCGUAAAGAGCUCGUAGGCGGCUUAGCAAGUCGGGUGUGAAAACUCCAGGCUCAACCUGGAGACGCCACUCGAGACUGCUAUGGCUAGAGUCCGGUAGGGGACCACGGAAUUCCUGGUGUAGCGGUGAAAUGCGCAGAUAUCAGGAGGAACACCAGCGGCGAAGGCGCCGCUCUGGGCCGUAACUGACGCUGAGGAGCGAAAGCAUGGGUAGCAAACAGG